Molecule: ribosomal RNA, 465 nt
Filed under: Vreelandella stevensii
Lineage: Bacteria; Pseudomonadati; Pseudomonadota; Gammaproteobacteria; Oceanospirillales; Halomonadaceae
Description: partial 16S ribosomal RNA
Rfam family: Bacterial small subunit ribosomal RNA
Source: RNAcentral
CCUACGGGUGGCUGCAGUGGGGAAUAUUGGACAAUGGGCGAAAGCCUGAUCCAGUCAUGCCGCGUGUGUGAAGAAGGCCUUCGGGUUGUAAAGCACUUUCAGUGGGGAAGAAAGCCUUGGGGCUAAUACCCUCGAGGAAGGACAUCACCCACAGAAGAAGCACCGGCUAACUCCGUGCCAGCAGCCGCGGUAAUACGGAGGGUGCGAGCGUUAAUCGGAAUUACUGGGCGUAAAGCGCGCGUAGGCGGUCUGAUAAGCCGGUUGUGAAAGCCCCGGGCUCAACCUGGGAACGGCAUCCGGAACUGUCAGGCUAGAGUGCAGGAGAGGAAGGUAGAAUUCCCGGUGUAGCGGUGAAAUGCGUAGAGAUCGGGAGGAAUACCAGUGGCGAAGGCGGCCUUCUGGACUGACACUGACGCUGAGGUGCGAAAGCGUGGGUAGCAAACAGGAUUAGAUACCCCGGUAGUC